ACGAACGCUGGCGGCGUGCUUAACACAUGCAAGUCGAACGGAAAGGCCCCUUUGGGGGUACUCGAGUGGCGAACGGGUGAGUAACACGUGAGUAACCUGCCCUUGACUUCGGGAUAACUUCAGGAAACUGGGGCUAAUACCGGAUAGGAAUCCUUGCUGCAUGGUGGGGGUUGGAAAGCUUCGGCGGUUUUGGAUGGACUCGCGGCUUAUCAGCUUGUUGGUGGGGUAGUGGCUUACCAAGGCUUUGACGGGUAGCCGGCCUGAGAGGGCGACCGGCCACAUUGGGACUGAGAUACGGCCCAGACUCCUACGGGAGGCAGCAGUGGGGAAUAUUGCACAAUGGGCGGAAGCCUGAUGCAGCAACGCCGCGUGCGGGAUGACGGCCUUCGGGUUGUAAACCGCUUUCAGCAGGAGCGAAGCUUGUGGUGACGGUACCUGCAGAAGAAGCACCGGCUAACUACGUG
RNAcentral lists this ribosomal RNA (464 nucleotides) under uncultured bacterium. RNAcentral describes it as "partial 16S ribosomal RNA". It matches the Rfam family "Bacterial small subunit ribosomal RNA", at positions 29 to 507 of the family's 1533-position model. The record is from RNAcentral.